Molecule: ribosomal RNA, 499 nt
Filed under: uncultured bacterium
Lineage: Bacteria
Description: partial 16S ribosomal RNA
Rfam family: Bacterial small subunit ribosomal RNA
Source: RNAcentral
GACGAACGCUGGCGGCGUGCCUAAUACAUGCAAGUCGAGCGAAGUUUUUCUGGUGCUUGCACUAGAAAAACUUAGCGGCGAACGGGUGAGUAACACGUAAAGAACCUGCCUCAUAGACUGGGACAACUAUUGGAAACGAUAGCUAAUACCGGAUAACAGCAUUAACUGCAUGGUUGAUGUUUAAAAGUUGGUUUUGCUAACACUAUGAGAUGGCUUUGCGGUGCAUUAGCUAGUUGGUGGGGUAAAGGCCUACCAAGGCGACGAUGCAUAGCCGACCUGAGAGGGUGAUCGGCCACACUGGGACUGAGACACGGCCCAGACUCCUACGGGAGGCAGCAGUAGGGAUUCUUCCGCAAAGGGCGAAAGCCUGACGGAGCAACGCCGCGUGAGUGAAGAAGGAUUUCGGUUCGUAAAGCUCUGUUGUUAGGGAAGAAUGAUUGUGUAGUAACUAUACACAGUAGAGACGGUACCUAACCAGAAAGCCACGGCUAACUACGUG